Molecule: long non-coding RNA, 246 nt
Filed under: Elaeis guineensis (African oil palm)
Lineage: Eukaryota; Viridiplantae; Streptophyta; Magnoliopsida; Arecales; Arecaceae
Description: long non-coding RNA (EGUI_LNC041153)
Source: RNAcentral
AGUCUCUUGGUCUCCUAUCCCGACGGUGCCUCUGACCUCUCCCUCCCCUCCUCUCCCACUCCUCCAGAGUUCGAACGCCCUGCUUCUCCAUCUCCACCGUGCAAUAUGCUCACCGAUGGUCGAACCCCGACACCAAUGCAUUAGAUGAAGGAGAUCCUUUCCCGCUAUCCCUCUCUCUGUCUCCCUCUCUCUAUCUCUCAGUCUCCCACUCUCCCUCUCAAUCGAGGACACGAGAUCCCUCCAUCG